Molecule: long non-coding RNA, 1249 nt
Organism: Micropterus salmoides (largemouth bass)
Lineage: Eukaryota; Metazoa; Chordata; Actinopteri; Centrarchiformes; Centrarchidae
Exons: 3
Source: RefSeq, a predicted model, not a curated record
AUUAAAUUUGCCCUCCAAACCAGGUGUUAUAAAAGCCCAAACUUAGAUUAAAUCAACAGCACAGUAGAAGAACACCUGAAACAAGCAGCAUCGCUGUUUAUUCUCUCAUUUAAUCACCAUCUUCCUUAGUUGGGCCUAUUCGUGUCGCGUUAAGGGCACGUCUGUAAAUUUAAACUCUGAUUAAUGGUGACGGUGUUUAUCAGACGUGCGAUGUGAAGCCGCACGCGGCCUGUCCGGCAUUCAGCAUCCUGCUCCCGCACUGAUGCAGGAAGCACCGACAAGAAAGACGGGAAUCCUGCGUGCUGCUCCUGCAGUAAUGUCAAUGUGGAAAAUGGUUGGAUCCUUGAGACCUCACGAACCAAACCUCUGAGAAGUUGCAGCACACUCCUUGGCACAGCAUCAAAAACCUCUGCAUGUAACUGGUAAACUGAAUUCAGCGAGGAAUUCCUCAUAACAUGCGUGACUGUUACUUUCGAUCUCCAUGGCGGCCUGAAAGGGGAUCAAAAUGACAAAAUGAUUAGUGGCCCUCAUGAAGUGCACCUGAAAGAACAUUUUCCGGGCCGGAUGAAGCCAGACAUCGCUGCUGGAGUGAGGAGAUGUUGCAUGUCAUGGAAAACAGCGUCACUUCCCUUACUUCAAUAUGCUCAACAUGCAGAAGAUCAGAGAACAAAGCAGGAAAACUGGACAUUGGCGUAUGAAUUGUCUGAGUUUGAAACAGGGUGGAUAUUCCAAGGCGGACUUAAAGCUGAAAAAGGAGGUGGAAUGGACUCUGGGGACGGACCUGCCUGUCGCACACCAAUGGGUGAAUCUUCUGUUAAAAGUGAGUAUGACUGAAAAUAAUGAUUGCUAUAACACGCAUUGAAGAUAAAAAUGACAACUUGAUCAACUGACAUUUGAAAUGUAGUACACAGAUGAAAAUAAUGGAUUUAGAAAGUUACCAGAGUUGUGUUUAAACAUAGCAGGUCACAAUGUUGUGUUUUUAGCCAACUCAAGGGCUACUAUAUCUGUUUUAAAGAAUGCAGCACCACCGAAACGGCCCAAGAAGAGCAGAUUUCAGAAUCCUACACAACACCUUUGGCAUGCACACUCGAUAACACCUUGACUAAACACAUAAUUUCUGUUAUCAAAACACUGUCCCAUAAUUUUAAUGAGAAGAGAUCUGAUUUAAACUCACAUCCAACAAGUACUGAGACUGCAAAGGGUUGAAUAAAGUCUGGAGGCAUUGAAACAUGUCUACCAGUGAUCUCUG